Molecule: RNase P RNA, 382 nt
Filed under: Bacteroidota bacterium
Lineage: Bacteria; Pseudomonadati; Bacteroidota
Description: Bacteroidetes bacterium (activated sludge metagenome) RNase P RNA component class A
Rfam family: Bacterial RNase P class A
About the family: Ribonuclease P (RNase P) is a ubiquitous endoribonuclease, found in archaea, bacteria and eukarya as well as chloroplasts and mitochondria. Its best characterised activity is the generation of mature 5'-ends of tRNAs by cleaving the 5'-leader elements of precursor-tRNAs.
Source: RNAcentral
GAAGUGUGCCAGGUAACCGCUCCGGUGAAAGACCCGGGGAGGAAAGUCCGAACUUCGCAGAGCAUGCCGCCCCGAUAACGUCGGGGAGACGGUGACGUCAUGGACAGUGCCACAGAAAACAAACCGCCCCGAUAACCUCGGGGUAAGGGUGAAACGGCGGUGUAAGAGACCACCAGUUCCGGUGGUAACACCGGAAGCUCGGUAAACCCCGGCAGAAGCAAGGCCAAGUAAAGGAGCGAUUAAGGGCUGCUCGCCCGAUGCUCCAGGGUGGGCCGCUUGAUUCCGGCAGCAAUGCUGUGAACAGAUAAAUGGUUACCACCUGUCCGGUUUCAGCGACGGAGACGGACAGGAACAGAAUUCGGCUUACCGGUGCACUUCCCGU